CUGGCGGCAGGCUUAACACAUGCAAGUCGAACGGGCAUAGCAAUAUGUCAGUGGCAGACGGGUGAGUAACGCGUGGGAAUCUACCCAUCUCUACGGAAUAACUCAGGGAAACUUGUGCUAAUACCGUAUACGCCCUUUUGGGGAAAGAUUUAUCGGAGAUGGAUGAGCCCGCGUUGGAUUAGCUAGUUGGUGGGGUAAAGGCCUACCAAGGCGACGAUCCAUAGCUGGUCUGAGAGGAUGAUCAGCCACAUUGGGACUGAGACACGGCCCAAACUCCUACGGGAGGCAGCAGUGGGGAAUAUUGGACAAUGGGCGCAAGCCUGAUCCAGCCAUGCCGCGUGUGUGAUGAAGGCCUUAGGGUUGUAAAGCACUUUCACCGGAGAAGAUAAUGACGGUAUCCGGAGAAGAAGCCCCGGCUAACUUCGUGCCAGCAGCCGCGGUAAUACGAAGGGGGCUAGCGUUGUUCGGAAUUACUGGGCGUAAAGCGCACGUAGGCGGACAUUUAAGUCAGGGGUGAAAUCCCAGAGCUCAACUCUGGAACUGCCUUUGAUACUGGGUGUCUAGAGUAUGGAAGAGGUGAGUGGAAUUCCGAGUGUAGAGGUGAAAUUCGUAGAUAUUCGGAGGAACACCAGUGGCGAAGGCGGCUCACUGGUCCAUUACUGACGCUGAGGUGCGAAAGCGUGGGGGAGCAAACAGGAUUAGAUACCCUGGUAGUCCACGCCGUAAACGAUGAAUGUUAGCCGUCGGGCAGUUUACUGGUCGGUGGCGCAGCUAACGCAUUUAAACAUUUCG
This 792-nucleotide ribosomal RNA is filed under the name uncultured earthworm cast bacterium. Its description in RNAcentral is "bacterial SSU rRNA". It matches the Rfam family "Bacterial small subunit ribosomal RNA", at positions 36 to 871 of the family's 1533-position model. The record is from RNAcentral.